GUUAAAAAGCUCGUAGUUGGAUUUCGGAGUGGGCCAGUUGGUCCGCCGCAAGGUGUGUUACUGACUGGUUUGCUCUUCUUCGCAAAGACUGCGUGUGCUCUUCAGUGAGUGUGCGUAGGAUUUACGACGUUUACUUUGAAAAAAUUAGAGUGUUCAAAGCAGGCUAUUGCUUGAAUACAUGAGCAUGGAAUAAUGGAAUAGGACUUUGGUCCCAUUUUGUUGGUUUCUAGGGCCGAAGUAAUGAUUAAGAGGGACAAUUGGGGGCAUCCGUAUUUCGUUGUCAGAGGUGAAAUUCUUGGAUUUACGAAAGACGAACAACUGCGAAAGCACUUGCCCAAGAGUGUUCCAUUAAUCAGAACGAAGUAGAGGAUCA
Molecule: ribosomal RNA, 373 nt
Filed under: uncultured eukaryote
Lineage: Eukaryota
Description: SSU rRNA
Rfam family: Eukaryotic small subunit ribosomal RNA
Source: RNAcentral